AUUGAACGCUGGCGGCAGGCCUAACACAUGCAAGUCGAACGGUAACAGGAAGAAGCUUGCUUCUUUGCUGACGAGUGGCGGACGGGUGAGUAAUGUCUGGGAAACUGCCUGAUGGAGGGGGAUAACUACUAGAAACGGUAGCUAAUACCGCAUAACGUCGCAAGACCAAAAAGGGGGACCUUCGGGCCUCUUGCCAUCGGAUGUGCCCAGAUGGGAUUAGCUAGUAGGUGGGGUAACGGCUCACCUAGGCGACGAUCCCUAGCUGGUCUGAGAGGAUGACCAGCCACACUGGAACUGAGACACGGUCCAGACUCCUACGGGAGGCAGCAGUGGGGAAUAUUGCACAAUGGGCGCAAGCCUGAUGCAGCCAUGCCGCGUGUAUGAAGAAGGCCUUCGGGUUGCAAAGUACUUUCAGCGGGGAGGAAGGGAGUAAAGUUAAUACCUUUGCUCAUUGACGUUACCCGCAGAAGAAGCACCGGCUAACUCCGUG
This 490-nucleotide ribosomal RNA is filed under the name uncultured bacterium. RNAcentral's name for it is "partial 16S ribosomal RNA". It matches the Rfam family "Bacterial small subunit ribosomal RNA", at positions 30 to 507 of the family's 1533-position model. The record is from RNAcentral.